This 379-nucleotide unclassified non-coding RNA is filed under the name Hevea brasiliensis (rubber tree). Lineage: Eukaryota; Viridiplantae; Streptophyta; Magnoliopsida; Malpighiales; Euphorbiaceae. The record is from RNAcentral.
GAAACAAGCCGUUGAAUCCUAUCGCCAGCGACUUCGGUUCUGGUGGUGGUCCCCACCGGUGCACGGGUAGCUGCCGAGCAAGACACUAAAAGGUUAUGCCUUUUACUAGGAAAUUUAAAAAUUGACGAAUUGAGAUUGAAUGGAGAGAAUUUAAUUAUGUUUCCAUUGCUUUUAGGGUUAGGAUUGUUGUUUUUUGAGAGUUUUGGAAAGGAAAGGGAAGUUGGUAUAUUGAAGGUUGUAGAGAUCAUGUUUGGAAGGAGAGAAAGUGAGGGAAAGAAAGAAAACCGAUAGGGAAAGAGAUUAAGGCAGAGCAGGCAAAGAGGAGGAAAGAUUUGAUAAUCUUAAACUGCGGGCUGUUUCUGGUGUGUCAGAGUGAGCA